RNAcentral lists this ribosomal RNA (511 nucleotides) under uncultured Desulfobulbus sp. RNAcentral describes it as "bacterial SSU rRNA". It matches the Rfam family "Bacterial small subunit ribosomal RNA", at positions 903 to 1382 of the family's 1533-position model. Lineage: Bacteria; Pseudomonadati; Thermodesulfobacteriota; Desulfobulbia; Desulfobulbales; Desulfobulbaceae. The record is from RNAcentral.
CGCCUUGCCAGCCCGCUCAGAAACUUAAAGGAAUUGACGGGGGCCCGCACAAGCGGUGGAGUAUGUGGUUUAAUUCGAUGCAACGCGAAGAACCUUACCUGGUCUUGACAUCCCGGAGACCCUUAGGAAACUAGGGGGUGCUUCCAUCUGGAAGAAUCUGGAGACAGGUGCUGCAUGGCUGUCGUCAGCUCGUGUCGUGAGAUGUUGGGUUAAGUCCCGUAACGAGCGCAACCCUUGCCUUUAGUUGCCAGCAGUUCGGCUGGGCACUCUAAAGGGACUGCCGGUGUUAAACCGGAGGAAGGUGGGGAUGACGUCAAGUCCUCAUGGCCUUUAUGACCAGGGCUACACACGUACUACAAUGGCCGAUACAAAGGGCAGCGACACUGCGAGGUGAAGCCAAUCCCGUAAAAUCGGUCUCAGUCCGGAUUGGAGUCUGCAACUCGACUCCAUGAAGUUGGAAUCGCUAGUAAUCGUGGAUCAGCAUGCCACGGUGAAUACGUUCCCGGGCCUU